UUUAGAAGGAAAAGCCCAAGUCGCAUG
Molecule: small RNA, 27 nt
Filed under: Bombyx mori (domestic silkworm)
Lineage: Eukaryota; Metazoa; Arthropoda; Insecta; Lepidoptera; Bombycidae
Description: ovarian small RNA-38238
Source: RNAcentral